Molecule: ribosomal RNA, 1238 nt
Filed under: metagenome
Description: bacterial LSU rRNA
Rfam family: Bacterial large subunit ribosomal RNA
Source: RNAcentral
UGAAUACGAGAUGCUACGGCGUCGAAGCAGUCUAUGUCAUACUUCCAAGAAAAGCUCGCACUGUCAUAAAAAUAAUGCCUGUACCAUAACCGACACAGGUGGGUAGGUAGAGUAUACUAAGGGGCGCGAGAUAACUCUCUCUAAGGAACUCGGCAAAAUGACUCCGUAACUUCGGGAGAAGGAGUGCCUUAUUUAUAAGGUUGCAAUAACAAGAUCCAAGCAACUGUUUAUCAAAAACACAGGUCUCCGCUAAGUCGUAAGACGAUGUAUGGGGGCUGACGCCUGCCCAGUGCCAGAAGGUUAAAGAAGUUGGUUAGCAUUCGCGAAGCUGAUAACUGAAGCCCUGGUGAACGGCGGCCGUAACAAUAACGGUCCUAAGGUAGCGAAAUUCCUUGUCGGGUAAGUUCCGACCCGCACGAAAGGCGUAAUGAUUUGGAUACUGUCUCGGAGAGGGGCUCGGUGAAAUAGACUUGUCUGUGAAGAUGCGGACUACCUGCACCAGGACAGAAAGACCCUAUGAAGCUUUACUGUAACUUGAGAUUGAAAUUGGACUUUACUUGCGCAGUAUAGGUGGGAGGCGUUGAUAAUAUUCUUGCGGGAUUAUUUGAGCCAUCAGUGAGAUACCACUCUUGUAAUGUUAGAUUUCUAACUUUGUAUCAUUAUCUGGUCAAAGGACAGUUUCAGGCGGGCAGUUUGACUGGGGCGGUCGCCUCCUAAACGGUAACGGAAGCGCACAAAGGUUUCCUCUGAACGGGUAGAAAUCGUAUCUAGAGUGUAAAGGCAUAAGGAAGCUUGACUGUGAGACCUACAAGUCGAGCAGGGACGAAAGUCGGUCUUAGUGAUCUGACGGUGCUGAGUGGAAAGGCCGUCACUCAACGGAUAAAAGUUACUCUAAGGAUAACAGGCUGAUCUCCCCCAAGAGUUCACAUCGACGGGGAGGUUUGGCACCUCGAUGUCGGCUCAUCGCAUCCUGGGGCGGUAGUACGUCCCAAGGGUUGGGCUGUUCGCCCAUGAAAGCGGUACGCGAGCUGGGUUCAGAACGUCGUGAGACAGUUCGGUCCAUAUCCGGUGUAGGCGUUAGAAUAUUGAGAGGAGCCUUCUUUAGUACGAGAGGACCGAGAAGGACAUACCUCUGGUGUACCAGUUAUCGUGCCAACGGUGAACGCUGGGUAGCUAUGUAUGGAGUGGAUAACCGCUGAAAGCAUCUAAGUGGGAAGCCCACCUCAAGAUAAGUAUUC